UACGUAGGGUCCGAGCGUUGUCCGGAAUUACUGGGCGUAAAGAGCACGUAGGUGGUUUGUCGCGUUGUUCGUGAAAACUCACAGCUCAACUGUGGGCGUGCGGGCGAUACGGGCAGACUUGAGUACUGCAGGGGAGACUGGAAUUCCUGGUGUAGCGGUGGAAUGCGCAGAGAUCAGGAGGAACACCGGUGGCGAAGGCGGGGCUCUGGGCAGGAACUGACGCUGAGGAGCGAAAGCGUGGGGAGCGAACAGG
This 253-nucleotide ribosomal RNA is filed under the name uncultured bacterium. RNAcentral describes it as "partial 16S ribosomal RNA". It matches the Rfam family "Bacterial small subunit ribosomal RNA", at positions 524 to 776 of the family's 1533-position model. The record is from RNAcentral.